RNAcentral lists this small nuclear RNA (312 nucleotides) under Castor canadensis (American beaver). RNAcentral describes it as "7SK RNA (ENSCCNG00000030429.1)". It matches the Rfam family "7SK RNA". From Rfam's summary of the family: 7SK was discovered as an abundant small nuclear RNA in the mid-70s but a possible function has only recently been suggested. Two independent studies have found that 7SK RNA binds the CDK9/cyclin T complex (known as elongation factor P-TEFb). The record is from Rfam by way of RNAcentral. Lineage: Eukaryota; Metazoa; Chordata; Mammalia; Rodentia; Castoridae.
GGAUGUGAGAGCUAUCUGGACAGAUGCGACAUCUGUUACCCCAAGGGUGUCCCCUUCCUCCCUCACCACUCCAUGUGUGCCCCUCCCAAAGCUGUGCGCUGGGUGAAGAGGAUGAUCAUCCCUGAUACAGAAAGACCGACCAUUCUUCGGUCAAGGAUAUAUGAGUAGCUGUGCUCCCCUACCAGAACCUCCAAACAAGUUCUCAAAUUCCAGUUCCAACAACAACCAAAGGAAAAAAAAAAAGGAAAGGAAAGGGCAAAAGAUCAAAAACAAAGGUGAUUACAGAGAAAUGAAAAAUAUGUGCUCCUAUAU